Molecule: long non-coding RNA, 1460 nt
Organism: Lathyrus oleraceus (garden pea)
Lineage: Eukaryota; Viridiplantae; Streptophyta; Magnoliopsida; Fabales; Fabaceae
Exons: 3
Source: RefSeq, a predicted model, not a curated record
GACAAUACGCUCAGAGCAAAAUGUUCUUCAUUUGCUUCUCCUGAGAAACAACCCCUCCUCCGCGCUGGAACUUGACACCGGCGGCGGUGGAUGACCUAACCCUCAAAAUGUUACAUCAAAACACUCAUACUUUCUCACUCUAUCUCGAUCUCACACCGCUUCCAUCUGAUUCCUUUCCCUAAGCCCGAAUUGAAGAAAAAUCCCAAAUAAACCCUAAAUUUUCAUAUCAAAAGAAAUCAUAUGAUGUCGUGAGGGAAUCGAAACCUACGAGGGUAGGGCUUUAAAUCCUGAAGCUCAAAACUAAAUUGCGGUGGAGAUUCAGGAUCCAAUCGAAUGAAGAAGCGGAGGAUUAUUUACCUGCCUGAGUAGCUCCGACGGCUCUUCAGAAGUGGCGUUUUUCUAAAGAACUCCAGAGAUUCGUCUCCUCAGAGAUUAUUACGAAUCGUGAGACUUUGGGAGUUAAGAGUGAUUGAAGAAGAAUAUAGAGAGUGAAAAACCCUUGUGCAUGGAUGAAGAGUGAAGAUUUCAAGGAUUUGAAUUUUGGAUGAAGAGUGAAGAUUGUGAAGCAGGAAGAUGAACGUGAAGGAUUUGAAGCGGGAAGAUGAAGGUGAAGCAAAAUGGAGAAUGAAGUUUUCUGCCGAGAACACAGAAUCUCAGUCUGGCUUGCUGUUGUUAUCAGUGUUUUGAGGCAAUGCUAUUUUUGAGAUGAAUGUUACGGACAUUGCAAAAUGAUUUCGCGUGUUGUAGGUUGUUUACUUGCUCAUGGUUGAUUUGGAUUUUGCCUGCUGUGUAAGCUUGUUAUCAUGGUAUUGAAAUGCAAUGCUUUGUUUGGUUCUCUUUUACAUUGCUUUGUGGCUGAACCGUUAUGGGAUAAAACAAUUGUUAUGUCAGUAGGUUAACUAAGUUGAAAUAUGUUUAAAUUGAAUUGGUUAUAUGAGGAUGAAUUGUUUAUGUUAGGAAAUUGUUAGAUUGAAAUGGAUGGAUUAUUGACAUUGUGUGUAGGGUAUUAUUUGAAUCGAUUGAAUGUUGGCUCAUAUGUUAGGAACUAAAUGGACAUGUUAUGUAUUAGUUAAAUUAAGGUAUUGACUAAUUAGAAAAUGUUAUGUUUUCAAUAAAUUGAGAUGAGUAAUAACAAUGAAUGUUAGAGAUUCAAUUAUUCAUGACUUGCUUGGCUUGAUUUUGUGUUGAGAAGUGAUAUGCAUUGAACAAAGUUAUGCUUGGUGAUAUAAUGGUGUUAUAUGUGUUUUUACAGGUCAUGGCAUGGCAAAUGGAUAUGAUCAAGGAUACCAAGACUUGACGAUUAAGAUGAUGGUUUAGGGGUAGAUGUUAGAUUGUGUAAUUUUCUUGAUGAUGUAAUAGUAGUUGUAUACGGAAUUUUAAGAAUUUGAAACAUACAAAGAUGUUCCUUAUGUGAAACCAAAUUGGUUUUAAAAAUAUUAUUUGAGUUGGUUUUGAAGAAA